RNAcentral lists this small RNA (855 nucleotides) under Histoplasma capsulatum var. duboisii H88. Its description in RNAcentral is "Histoplasma capsulatum H88 hypothetical RNA". Lineage: Eukaryota; Fungi; Ascomycota; Eurotiomycetes; Onygenales; Ajellomycetaceae. The record is from RNAcentral.
AUCAACCUCGAGGAGAACGAGUGACGGUUAUGUUGUCGUAAACCUACGAUCGCAUGGAAAAAACCCGGAAUCUACACAUGUAUAUACUUGUCUAAUAUCCAGCAUGCCGCGUGCAAACAACGGACUGGCAGGGGAGAGUCCCAUUCCAAGCACUUCGGCCGGUUGAAGAGUCGAACCAUCCUUGGGGGUCUCCUGCCCGUCCACAAGCGCAAGGAGCCACAGCAGGGCAAUGAUGGUAGAGGAAGGACGCUGGACCAUUUGUAUUCAAUAAAAGCUUGAGGGCUUACGGAACAAAUGGGAACAAUGCAGAAGACACAGACAAAGAUUUUCCUCGAUAUUCACAAUGUCCUUCGGCUCCGUAUUCCCGCGGGAAUCCCCUGACCCAUGCUUCGAAAAGGUUGACUUUGCUUCUUGUCAUGGUUAGUUAUGAGAUGUCAGAUUGAAAAGGGGUCAAGCUAUGCCGUGAUUGGACCUGACUCGUUCCUGGGUGGCAGCUAGUGACCGAGGAAUAUAACGCUGGUUCCUGACAUCUUAUCCGACAGAUCGACGGCCAAGAAAUCCUUGGAUUGGCCGGAUAACUCUGUGGAAUUUAGACAUCAUUCACAUAUCUGCUACGUGCUGCGUAAUAAGGGAGAACCUACUAACAAGGUUUUUCCCAAUAAUCCACAUAAACUUGUGUGCGGACGAUACAUGUUGCUCAAAGGAGGGCUAAAACGGAGCACGGACAAUACUGGUCGGUAUGAUCGUGUGAACAAUCGUUCAUAUUUUAGGCCAGGAACCCUUGUUUGUGGCACAAGGGUUAGGCGCAAACUAUCGCUGUUUCGCUUUCUGCAGCACUGGAAAUUCCGAGGCACC